RNAcentral lists this ribosomal RNA (232 nucleotides) under uncultured bacterium. RNAcentral's name for it is "partial 16S ribosomal RNA". It matches the Rfam family "Bacterial small subunit ribosomal RNA", at positions 106 to 334 of the family's 1533-position model. The record is from RNAcentral.
CGGGAGUAACGCGUGGGUAACCGUGCCUCAUACAGGGGGAUAACAGUUAGAAAUAGACUGCUAAUACCGCAUAAGACGCACAGUGCUGCAUGGCACAGUGUGAAAAACUCCGGUGGUAUGAGAUGGACCCGCGUCUGAUUAGCUAGUUGGUGGGGUAACGGCCUACCAAGGCGACGAUCAGUAGCCGGCCUGAGAGGGUGAACGGCCACAUUGGGACUGAGACACGGCCCAA